Molecule: unclassified non-coding RNA, 394 nt
Filed under: soil metagenome
Description: partial contains 5.8S ribosomal RNA, internal transcribed spacer 2, and large subunit ribosomal RNA
Rfam family: 5.8S ribosomal RNA (bases 1-120)
Source: RNAcentral
GAUGAAGAACGCAGCGAAUUGCGAUAAGUAAUGUGAAUUGCAGAUACUCGUGAAUCAUUGAAUUUUUGAACGCACAUUGCGCCCUUGAGCAUUCUCAGGGGCAUGCCUGUUUGAGCGUCAUUUCCUUCUCAAAAGAUAAUUUAUUAUUUUUUGGUUGUGGGCGAUACUCAGGGUUAGCUUGAAAUUGGAGACUGUUUCAGUCUUUUUUAAUUCAACACUUAGCUUCUUUGGAGACGCUGUUCUAGCUGUGAUGUAUUUAUGGAUUUAUUCGUUUUACUUUACAAGGGAAAUGGUAACGUACCUUAGGCAAAGGGUUGCUUUUAAUAUUCAUCAAGUUUGACCUCAAAUCAGGUAGGAUUACCCGCUGAACUUAAGCAUAUCAAUAAGCGGAGGA